Non-coding RNA from Orycteropus afer afer, 555 nucleotides. The record is from the annotation of a RefSeq genome assembly. Lineage: Eukaryota; Metazoa; Chordata; Mammalia; Tubulidentata; Orycteropodidae.
AUGGACAGGUUUCAGCGGAGCUUGCAGAGUGUCCUGUGUGAUGUUCAGCUGGUGAAAUCAGGGGGAGAUGUGAGACAACCCGGAGGGUCUCUGAGCCUCUCCUGCAAAGCCUCUGGAUUCACCUUCACUGACUAUGGGAUGAACUGGGUCCGCCAGGCUCCAGGGAAGGGGCUGGAGUGGGUGGCAUUAGUGAGUCAACCCAGUGGACAGAAUCAGUAUUACUCUCCCUCAGUUCAAGGAAGAUUCACAAUUGCCAGGGACAACCCUACAAGCACAGUCUCCCUGAAAAUGACAAACCUGAAAGCUGAGGACACUGCCGUGUAUUACUGUGUGAGAGACACAGUGAGGGGAAGUGUCCAGUGUGAGGUGCAGCUGGUGGAGUCCAGAGACAACGCCAAGAACACGCUGUAUCUGCAGAUGAACAGUCUGAAAGCUGAGGACACAGCCAUGUAUUACUGUGUGAGAGACACAGUGAGGGGAAGUCAAUGGGUUCUGUCCCAGGUCACCCUGGAGGAGUCCAGUCCUGGGCUGCUGAAACCCACCCAGACCCUGUAG